Molecule: ribosomal RNA, 998 nt
Filed under: uncultured Verrucomicrobiota bacterium
Lineage: Bacteria; Pseudomonadati; Verrucomicrobiota
Description: bacterial SSU rRNA
Rfam family: Bacterial small subunit ribosomal RNA
Source: RNAcentral
CAGCCGCCGCGGUAAUACAGAGGUGGCGAGCGUUGUUCGGAUUUACUGGGCGUAAAGGGUGCGUAGGUGGUUGUGUAUGUCGAAUGUGAAAGCCCAUUGCUUAACGAUGGAAGGUCAUUCGAAACUACACGACUAGAGUACAGGAGAGGAGAGCGGAAUUCUUGGAGUAGCGGUGAAAUGCGUUGAUAUCAAGAAGAACACCGGUGGCGAAGGCGGCUCUCUGGAAUGAUACUGACACUGAGGCACGAAAGCUGGGGGAGCAAACAGGAUUAGAUACCCUGGUAGUCCCAGCCCUAAACGGUGUCAACUUGGUGUCGGCGGUAUUGACCCCGCCGGUGCCGGAGCUAACGCGUUAAGUUGACCGCCUGGGGAGUACGACCGCAAGGUUAAAACUCAAAGAAAUUGACGGGGGCCCGCACAAGCGGAGGAGCAUGUGGCUUAAUUCGAUGCAACGCGAAGAACCUUACCAGGGCUUGACAUGUAACUGCUCAUCCUGUGAAAACAGGACUCUUUCGAAGGUGUUACACAGGUGCUGCAUGGCUGUCGUCAGUUCGUGCCGUGAGGUGUUGGGUUAAGUCCCGCAACGAACGCAACCCCUUUGUUUAGUUGCUACUGGAUUUAUUCAGGCACUCUAGACAUACUGCCCGUACAAAGCGGGAGGAAGGUGGGGACGACGUCAAGUCAGUAUGGCCCUUACGCCCUGGGCUGCACACGUGCUACAAUGGUCGGUACAGAGGGAAGCAAUACCGCGAGGUGGAGCAAAUCCUAAAAACCGGCCCCAGUUCAGAUUGGAGUCUGCAACUCGACUCCAUGAAGUCGGAUUCGCUAGUAAUGCCGUAUCAGCUACGACGGCGUGAAUACGUUCCCGGGCCUUGUACACACCGCCCGUCACAUCAUGAAAGCCGUCUGCACCCGAAGUCGCUGAGCCAACCCGCAAGGGAGGCAGGUGCCGAAGGUGUGGGUGGUGAUUGGGAUGAAGUCGUAACAAGGUAACCGUA